AAGUCGUAACAAGGUUUCCGUAGGUGAACCUGCGGAAGGAUCAUUACAACGUCCAAAAGACAAACCAAUCGCGAACUUAGUACCCUUUGGACUAAAGGCAGAGCGGAUGUAAACCUUUGUGAUGAAGGCGCCUCGGCGCCUUGGGUCAUCACUUCUAACAUUACUAAACCCUUUAACACUUUUGAACUGACUUGUUGUUAACGCGGUGCUCCUUUCCGGAGUGCUACUUAACAAUUGAUUACGUAAAUUACGAACAACUCUUAACAACGGAUAUCUUGGUUCUC
This 284-nucleotide unclassified non-coding RNA is filed under the name fungal sp. RNAcentral describes it as "partial internal transcribed spacer region". The stretch from base 1 to 46 matches the Rfam family "Eukaryotic small subunit ribosomal RNA", at positions 1786 to 1831 of the family's 1831-position model. Lineage: Eukaryota; Fungi. RNAcentral also lists the same sequence under 1 other name. The record is from RNAcentral.